UGGGCAACCUGCCCUCAGCUCUGGGGCAACUCCGGGAAACCGGGGCUAAUACCGGAUACGACCUUCUCCUGCAUGGGGGUUGGUGGAAAGUUUUUCGGCUGGGGAUGGGCCCGCGGCCUAUCAGCUUGUUGGUGGGGUGAUGGCCUACCAAGGCGACGACGGGUAGCCGGCCUGAGAGGGCGACCGGCCACACUGGGACUGAGACACGGUCCAGACUCCUACGGGAGGCA
Molecule: ribosomal RNA, 230 nt
Filed under: uncultured bacterium
Lineage: Bacteria
Description: partial 16S ribosomal RNA
Rfam family: Bacterial small subunit ribosomal RNA
Source: RNAcentral